This is a long non-coding RNA of Apis cerana (Asiatic honeybee), 4523 nucleotides long. RefSeq lists it as uncharacterized. The record is from RefSeq and is a predicted model, not a curated record. NCBI's taxonomy places the organism in Eukaryota, Metazoa, Arthropoda, Insecta, Hymenoptera, Apidae.
AUUUUUACAAUUCUGUCUACUUACACUUGCAAUAAUAUAUUCUCAAAUACUCUUAUGAGUCACCCUAUAAAGCACCAAUACUCCCACUAAUGCUUCUACCAAGUGUUCACCAGCAACUGUCACUGUUUACAGUUCUUCAAUUCCCAUCUUCAACAACAUUUAUAACUCACUAUUCCAACUCAAAACUCAAAAACACCUGCUGGGUCAUACUUGCAAUCAAGUUCACGAACCUUGGUCAAAUUGAUGGAAAACUUAGCAAGGGUCUUAUCCAGUGUAUCGCAACGGAGACCGGUGCGUACUCAGGAUCUUUCGUCAUCGUCUCGAGGUAAACGACACACUGUCAAAGAAAGAGCAGUGGCGAUUCGCGUGGGCUACCGCCAGAGAACUAAGAGCGUCUGAGGCACACCUGAAUCCCAACAGCAUCGGUCACUACCUUACUACAGCGCGGAACAACCUCUAUAGUGGCGUCGUUGUGUAUAUUGUGACGCGUAUACUGGGUGACAUAAAAAAUAUAAUGAAAAAAUAGAUUGUGAUGUCCGUGAAAAAAGGCGAUAAUAAUAAUAUAACUGUCAGUGAAGAUUAAUGAGAAUUUAAUCAUACCUAUCUUGACUAAUAGAUAAUAGAGAAUGAAGACAAUUGUUUUGAUUGAAUUGGAUUUUUAGUAUGAUUAGAAUUAAAUUAUAAUAAAUAUAUAGAAUUAUAGAAACAAGAAUAUAUAUGUUUUUAAUUAUAAAACAAUAUGAAUCAUUUUAAUGGGACUAAUUCAUAUUUGGAUUAAAUGUUAUAUACAAGAUUAGAUUUUUUAAUGUUGAGAUAUGUGUAAAUGAUACGUGUAUACGAUUGAUCAAUAUGAACAACUAAUUUUUUGUGAAAAUGAAAAUGAAAAGAAGAAAAAAUUGUUUCAUUCGCAAUUGAAUUAUAUAAACAAAUACUUAUGAAUUUUAAAUAUUUGGGUUACUAUAAAUCGAUGUGAAGCUCACUAUUGAAAUGGCAGCAAUUAUGCAAAAUUUUCGACACCUUGUAUAAGCGUCGCAGGUGAGCGGACUAUGGAGCGAAACAGAGAAGUUGUUAUACUAUUAUUUCUAUGCUGUUUUCCUGAGCACCGCUUCGCUUCGUCUCACCUGCUUGCUUACUUGCUUCUCCUGCGCUCAACCUUGCCUCUCAGGGUGUUAAUAUGUAUGUAUAUUCGUAGAAAACCUUUGUAGGAUCGAUUCUAAACGUCAAAACAAAAGUUGAUAUACAAAAAUAUCGAUUAUUAUUUAUUUAUUAAGUUAUAAAUAAUUGAAGUUUCAUUUGGAUGAAGUGAGAUGGAGAUAGAACAAGAAGUUAGCAAGAUGAAGAUAGAUUUAUUCUAACCUAAACUUCAAUUAAUUAUAGUCAAUAAAUAAGAUUUGAUCUUUAAACGAUAUUUUUAUAUCAACUUUUGUAUUUGACUCGUAGACUCUUCAAAAAUAUUUUAUAAAUAUUAACAAUAUAUAUUAUUAUUUAAAAAUCUUAUUCUUGUUUUUAUUCAUAAACUUUGAUAUAUGAAUCAUUUUUUAAUCAGAUUAUUAAUAUAUAUUAAUAUUUCAAACUUAAUACUUCAAACUUUCUUUUUUGUAUACCAAAUUAAUUAAUCUAGGUACCAGAUAAUUAAUUAUUUUUUUAAGAAGAAAGAACCAAAUUUAAUCCUCAAAAUAUAAAGUUGGAUUAAAAUAAUUAUUAAUUUCUCUGCUUAACUGUAAAAUUUUAUUUUGAUCAUAUUAUUAGAAUUACAAAGGAAAAAUUUGCGAAUACCGUAAGAGAGGAAACAAUUGAGACGCCUAAAUUUCCUCCUAUUCCUUGUACCGAUAUAAGCCAUUAUUCACGAGAGCAGCUAAUUAAUUAGAAGCGGAUUAUAAGUGGGCGUGUUGUUCUCACGUUUUCAGCAAAGAUUUUCUUCACCAAGUUUCAUCCAACGAUGUUGUUAUGGAAUUAUAAUUUUUUUUUAAUUAUACGAGCUCUCUUUGAUCGAAAAAUUUGAUAGUGAAUUAUUCUCUGUUUGCAAUUCAUUCACAUAUAAACGAUUAAAAAAAAGAGAGAAAAACAAAUGAUUAUCGAUAGUAACAAUCACAAAUAAUAAAUAAUAAAUAAAUUUAACUUCGAAUUCACGCGACUUCUCGCUAACUGCUGAUCUAUAUUUUCAAAACGAAACUACACACAAAAAUCUAAACACAUUAAACAUUUUCAUGUUUUAAAAUGUUUUUUCCAUUUUCUUCAACAACAAAAACCGUUCGUUUAAAUGAAUUAAAUAAAAUUUCUUUGAAAAAAAUCUUUUUAUUUUGAACGUAUCUAUCCUAUCCAAAGAAUGUAGAAAAAAACGAUAAUCCCGGCGUAAAAAAGCAAAAAAUACAUGGACACGAAGCCGGUGAUUAAUAGUUGGCAUAUUCUUCUCACGUCCAUGUUUGCAGGAUGCUCGGGUCCCUCCAGAUUGGAUGGAUAUCUCACGCCGUGAAACAUGCGAUUUGCAUUCAACUCGGAUCCCCUGCUCGUGGCUUGUAUCAUGCGAAAUGCACCGAGAACAACGGUAUACGUGGAUUUUACCUCGAGCCUGCUGUAUCGAAUUUUUCGAUACAAUCGAUCGAAAUUGUAUAAAUUUUUACCGACCGAAGUUAUCGAGACUGGAGAAAAGGGAAAAGGUUUUUUCUUUCUCAAUAAUCGUUCAAUUAUUAAUUUUAUAUCGAAUUAAAUUUUUUUCCAAAUUAUUCAGAAAUUGUGUAAAUUUAUUUAUUCGAUGGAAAUAUUUAAAAGAAAGGAAGACCUUUUGAUAAUUUUAACUUCAGCGUGUUUUUAUAUCUAUCGAUUUAAAAUAUUUUAUUAAUCGUUUAACAAUUUUUUAAUUGUUAAAGAUAUUUCUUUUUUACUAAUUUCAACGAACGCCUAUUAUUUCUUUUGUUUAAUUCGAUUAAAAUUUUCAAUAUUAUCGUCGAUAAAAAUAUCUAUCAAUGAUCACUUCUAUUAAUAUCGUCCCUGAUCGCGUGUUUAUAUGCCCACUUAUUACGUAUUUUUCACACGUUCACUGAUACGAGACUGUAUAUGCAAUAUUUUUUCUUAUCAAACAUGAUUUCGUGUUUGAAGUUUGAUACGGAAACAAUAUCGCGCUCGCAACGUUGAUAAUACUAUUCUGGAGUUCGCAGGUUUCACGAGAGGCAUGGGCUGGUUUCAUACAGGGCUAGUAUGCCAAUGGUUUCGAUAAUCGAUGGACUUAUCCAAGCAUGUGUUACAUACGCAAGCUGGAAGCUGUUUCUGGCAGGCAUGCCGAUAAUGUAGUUUUAAUUACGAGAGAUACUACGUACACGUGAAAUUCAAUAAUAUUUCAAAUAGGAAGAAUGAUAUUGCCUUGAAACAAAUUUUACUCACAAUGCAAGUACGAGAAAUACAAAUUAUUUACUAUAAACAAACUCUAUGAUUAUAAAGGAACGAUAAUCGGAUGUUAUGUUAAAUUUUGGAGGAGAAAUCAAAUAAGACUUGAAAAUUAGAUUUGUGUGACGGUGGUGAAGAGUAAAUGAGAGUACUUCAAGAUAAGUAGCAUUAAAUAACUAUUUAUAAUUUUAUAAAUAAAUUAUUAAUAAACAUAUCAAACAAUGUCAAUUUCAGCAAACGAGGCUGCGUAUAUAGCCAGGAACAGAAGAAUAUAGCGCAUAUUACACGCAAAUGUACACACAAAACGCAUAAACGUACGAAGGCGGUCGCGAAAGCGAAAUGUUACUCGCUCCUACGAUAAUUAGUAACUCUAUUAGUUAUGGCUGUGCCUUCUAACCAGCCUUAGAAUACAAAUGCGAACGAGCCUUCCGAUCCAGUGUUCAGUUACACCUUAUAUCUCUACGCUUCGUUCCACUGAUUAAUGUACACACCGUGGCAAAUCGUACCUUAUGAUUCAUGAAAUCGAUGAAAAUUUGGCGGAUGACAUACCGUAUCCGAUUUUUGAUUUAUAUACCUGCGAUUGUUCGUCGAACGCCGAUGGCAAUUGCGAGAAAAACGCACAGUGUUGUUCUUAGAAACGGAUACUCGAUUAUGGGGAUUGAAUUGUUUCAUGGAUCGUUUGCUUCGCCAAGAUUUCAUCGUUACUUUCGUUUGUUUCUUUGUUAACAAGCUUGAUGUGCAUCCUGGGAUGCAUUUAAAUGGAUAAGCAGUAAGAUUGCUUUUAUGCAAUGUUAUGGAGGUAAUGAGGACUGGUGAAAAUGAUAAUUUUUUGCUUUAAUUUGAAAACAAGUGUAAUUGGAAUAAUUUUAUUUCAAAUAAUUAGAUAUAGUGGAGAAAAUUUAACGAUCUAUAUAUAGUGGAAUUUCUUGUUGACGUUUGUGGAAAUGCUAUGCAACGUGUGAAUUUCUAUAUUGUUUUUCUAGAAAUAAUUAUUAUGAAAUAAUAUGUACGUAUAAAAUUUGUAUAGAUUAAUUACCAAUCUUUGAUAUAGUAAGUGAUUUGUAAUGUAAAUUAUUCUCUUAUAAAUAAUUAAUUUAAACUUUAUUUUUAAAAUUAAAUCGAAUAAAUUAAAUAAAUGGGAA